CGUUGCAAUGGCGCGGGCAGUGGCAUUGGCCUGACAAUAGAUCCAUGGUCGUAAUGCCGAUUGAGCUAAUUGGUCUUGUAGGAUAAUCACCGCUGCUGGACGGGCGGGCCGCCAUGGGCCAGUGCUUCUCGUGCGGGGAGCCACAGGAGCGCGACCCGCCGCCCAUCAAGCACAAAUAUGACGGCGUACCCACCACAGAGUGUCGUCCGAGCGUGCCCAGCGCGCCAGCGGCGGCCGACUCGCCGAGCCGG
Long non-coding RNA from Pollicipes pollicipes, 251 nucleotides. RefSeq lists it as uncharacterized. Lineage: Eukaryota; Metazoa; Arthropoda; Thecostraca; Pollicipedomorpha; Pollicipedidae. The transcript has 3 exons. The record is from RefSeq and is a predicted model, not a curated record.